Molecule: long non-coding RNA, 315 nt
Filed under: Rattus norvegicus (Norway rat)
Lineage: Eukaryota; Metazoa; Chordata; Mammalia; Rodentia; Muridae
Description: long non-coding RNA NONRATT033831
Source: RNAcentral
UUGGAUAUGGGACUGAUGGGGAGGGGGUCCCUUGCUCCUCUGGCACUGCUGAUGUACCGCUUACAUCACAGGACUGCAUCACAAUGGGUAGCCUCAAAGCUUUUUCCUUUGCCUCAGUGCCUAUGGGGUAUGGGCAGGGGUUGGUGGCUGGAGGGUCAAGAUCCUGCAGAAGAUUGGGCUCCCCAAACUCUGCAGCCCCCAGAAGUUUCACACUGCCCUUUCAGCAAGCUUCGCCAAGCUCUCACCACUUCACCAACUACUUCAGAUCCUCCCUUUUUGCUGUUGACUCAUAGUCUAUUCCAGGGACUCAUUUAA